Molecule: long non-coding RNA, 986 nt
Organism: Elaeis guineensis (African oil palm)
Lineage: Eukaryota; Viridiplantae; Streptophyta; Magnoliopsida; Arecales; Arecaceae
Source: RefSeq, a predicted model, not a curated record
UCUUGUUCUUCUUUUUAUUAUCUUCACUUCAAGACCUCUUGUGCAGAAUUUGGUGAAGUCUCGAUCAAUCUACGAGGAAAGAACAACUUAGUGGAUCAUUUAAUUAAUAGAUCAUCAAAUUGGCGAGUUUCGAUCCAUUAAAUAAUUCAGACCCAUUGAAAACUUCUCCGACGAGUGGCCUAGAGUGACCCUGGCCCUUUUUUGUGUUCGGCAACCUCUUAUCUCUCUCUGUUGCUACUGCUUAUUAUUGCAUGGGUGUCGGUGCUGCCAACUUCAACUUUCCAACGCUCCGAUGGGAAAUUUUCUCUGCUGUGGACAGCAAGCAACACCAUCUAUUGGUCUGCUGCUUGGUGCUGUUUGGACUGCUGUUUCAAGACGGCUAUGUCUUCGAGUCGACAACUUCUUCGAUCAAUAUCUGCUGCUAGAUCUGCGAUUUGAAACAUCUUUUUCGAUCAGUUCAUUGUUGGGAUUCGUUGUCGAUGUCUACUUUGCAACAACACAUUUCCCUAACCCUUAACCUUUUACAUCUUUUGUUUUUUUUCCUUCUUCUAAAAUUUUUCUAUUCUUUUCUCAAGAUGGUAUUCUGGCUAAGACAGUAUUAAAUUGAUCAAUAGGAAUUUGGAUGAUUCGUGUUCUGCGCCCGUGUUUACUGAUUCUGCUUGCAGAUUUUUCGACGUCUGGAAGGCCAGGUGAACAAAUCAUUAUCUAUUACCCCAGUUGGCAAUAGCAGUGGCUAUUUGCUUAAUUUGAGGAAACAAGCAGCCAACCUUCAAUCCAACCACCUGCUUCGUCUCCUCCCUUAUCUACUGCUCCUAAUUGGCUAAAGUGGACUUUGGGGUCUAUAAUGUGGCUAGCUCUCCCCAGAUGGAAGAAAAUACAAAAAAAUGAUGGUAAUCUAAGAAAAGAAAAUAUAAAUCAUUCUAUAGAUCUUCUAACUCAAUGUUAGGAAUUAUGUAAUUGUAUCUCAUAGUGGCAAAAAGAUUGGA